Molecule: ribosomal RNA, 454 nt
Filed under: uncultured organism
Description: partial 16S ribosomal RNA
Rfam family: Bacterial small subunit ribosomal RNA
Source: RNAcentral
CGUACACUCCUACGGGAGGCAGCAGUGGGGAAUAUUGGACAAUGGGCGCAAGCCUGAUCCAGCCAUGCCGCGUGAGUGAUGAAGGCCCUAGGGUUGUAAAGCUCUUUCACCGGUGAAGAUAAUGACGGUAACCGGAGAAGAAGCCCCGGCUAACUUCGUGCCAGCAGCCGCGGUAAUACGAAGGGGGCUAGCGUUGUUCGGAUUUACUGGGCGUAAAGCGCACGUAGGCGGACUAUUAAGUCAGGGGUGAAAUCCCGGGGCUCAACCCCGGAACUGCCUUUGAUACUGGUAGUCUUGAGUUCGAUAGAGGUGAGUGGAAUUCCGAGUGUAGAGGUGAAAUUCGUAGAUAUUCGGAGGAACACCAGUGGCGAAGGCAGCUCACUGGCUCGAUACUGACGCUGAGGUGCGAAAGCGUGGGGAGCAAACAGGAUUAGAAACCCUAGUAGUCCCAUGA